AACCGUCCAAACGUUAUUCGGUAUCACUGGGCUUAAAGCGUGCGUAGGCGGCUUGGUAGGUGAGAUGUGAAGGCCCACGGCUCAACCGUGGAACUGCGUUUCAAACCCCCAAGCUCGAGGAAGAUAGGGGUGAUGGGAACUUAUGGUGGAGCGGUGAAAUGCGUUGAUAUCAUAGGGAACACCGGUGGCGAAAGCGCAUCACUGGAUCUUUUCUGACGCUGAGGCACGAAAGCUAGGGUAGCGAACGGGAUUAGAUACCCCGGUAGUCCUAGCCGUAAACGAUGAACACUGGGUUGAGGGGACUUCCACAUCCUCUCGGCCGUAGCGAAAGCGUUAAGUGUUCCGCCUGGGGAGUAUGGUCGCAAGGCUGAAACUCAAAGGAA
Molecule: ribosomal RNA, 383 nt
Filed under: uncultured Planctomycetota bacterium
Lineage: Bacteria; Pseudomonadati; Planctomycetota
Description: bacterial SSU rRNA
Rfam family: Bacterial small subunit ribosomal RNA
Source: RNAcentral